Molecule: ribosomal RNA, 253 nt
Filed under: uncultured bacterium
Lineage: Bacteria
Description: partial 16S ribosomal RNA
Rfam family: Bacterial small subunit ribosomal RNA
Source: RNAcentral
UACGUAGGUGGCGAGCGUUGUCCGGAUUUAUUGGGCGUAAAGCGCGCGCAGGCGGUUCGCUCCGUCCGGUGUGAAAUCUCCCGGCUCACCUGGGAGGGGGCGCUGGAGACUGGCGAACUGGAGGCAGGGAGAGGUCGGUGGAAUUCCCGGUGUAGCGGUGAAAUGCGCAGAUAUCGGGAGGAACACCAAUGGCGAAGGCAGCUCGCUGGGACGGUACUGACGCUGAGACGCGAAAGCGUGGGGAGCAAACAGG